RNAcentral lists this ribosomal RNA (235 nucleotides) under uncultured bacterium. RNAcentral's name for it is "partial 16S ribosomal RNA". It matches the Rfam family "Bacterial small subunit ribosomal RNA", at positions 118 to 347 of the family's 1533-position model. The record is from RNAcentral.
UGAGGAACAUGACCUUCGGCGGGGGAUAGCCGGCCCAACGGCCGGGUAAUACCGCGUACGACCACAUGGGGACAUCCCUGAGUGGUGAAAGCAGCAAUGCGCCGAUGGAGUGCCUCGCGGCCUAUCAGCUAGUUGGUGAGGUAACGGCUCACCAAGGCGACGACGGGUAGCUGGUCUGAGAGGAUGGCCAGCCACAUUGGGACUGAGACACCGGCCCAGACCUCGUACGGGGAGG